RNAcentral lists this ribosomal RNA (502 nucleotides) under uncultured bacterium. Its description in RNAcentral is "partial 16S ribosomal RNA". It matches the Rfam family "Bacterial small subunit ribosomal RNA", at positions 28 to 507 of the family's 1533-position model. The record is from RNAcentral.
GACGAACGCUGGCGGCGUGCCUAAUACAUGCAAGUCGAACGAACCGCGACUGAGUGCUUGCACUUGGUCAAGGUGAGUGGCGAACGGGUGAGUAACACGUGGGUAACCUACCUCAUAGUGGGGGAUAACAGUCGGAAACGACUGCUAAUACCGCAUAGGACAUAGGAUCACAUGAUCCAGUGAGGAAAGGUGGCGCAAGCUAUCGCUAAGAGAUGGACCCGCGGUGCAUUAGCUAGUUGGUAGGGUAAAGGCCUACCAAGGCGAUGAUGCAUAGCCGACCUGAGAGGGUGAUCGGCCACAUUGGGACUGAGACACGGCCCCAACUCCUACGGGAGGCAGCAGUAGGGAAUCUUCCGCAAUGGACGCAAGUCUGACGGAGCAACGCCGCGUGAGUGAAGAAGGUCUUCGGAUCGUAAAGCUCUGUUGUUAGAGAAGAACAGCGCAUAGAGUAACUGCUAUGCGUGUGACGGUAUCUAACCAGAAAGCCACGGCUAACUACGUG